This is a non-coding RNA of Styela clava, 755 nucleotides long. NCBI's taxonomy places the organism in Eukaryota, Metazoa, Chordata, Ascidiacea, Stolidobranchia, Styelidae. The record is from RefSeq and is a predicted model, not a curated record.
CACCAUCUAGUGGUAGUUUACUACUUUGGACUUUCCACGGAGAGCGCUAGCGUUGUUACCGCGCUUUUUCGUUGUCAGAAGUACGGAAUGGAGUUUUCAUAUUUAUUCUGAUGAAUUCGAAGAGGGUUUGACAAAUUUAUCUGAUUGACAAAAGAGAUAUCAGUUGUUGGGAUCAUGGCCGGAUAAAUUCAUGGACAAAUGUUUGAUACAAUACAUGGUCUGCCAUUACAUGAAUAAUGACCCAUUAUCUGACUUCAGCAAAAGCACAAUGGACUGGAAGAGAUCCUGGUCAAAUUUGAUGCUGCAGGAUGAACAAGUGGCAGAAUUAUAAUGAAUUUACAUUUGAUUGUCAUAGUUCACAAUUGACAAGGGAGUGGUCCAUUAUAUUUUAAUGUCGUAAAAAGUGAAGACAAUCUGUUACAAGAAAACAUAGACGGCUCACAUUUUGCAAAUUCCUCUGCUUUGAGAGUGUUCUUCACAUAAAAAUAUUAUCUCGAUGCAGGUGUUUAUUCCACGCCAAAACAGGACACUAUCGACUGCACAACAUUGACAUGAAAAUGGCUAUUCCCUAAACCGUAGACAUCUCAUUACUUGGUGGAAGCUUAAUAGACAAUGAGAACACCUGCUAAACAAAAACAAGAAAUUGGUUCAAGACUAAAUUGAGCUCACUUUCAGAUACUGUAUCUACAAUAGAAGUUGGUUAGAAGCACCAAAUGUUUUCCAGUAUAAAAUUAGGUGAAUUGUGAUAUUUUGAA